GUCCACGCUGUAAACGAUGGAUACUAGGUGUGGGGGACUGACCCCUUCCGUGCCGCAGUUAACACAAUAAGUAUCCCACCUGGGGAGUACGAUCGCAAGGUUGAAACUCAAAGGAAUUGACGGGGGCCCGCACAAGCGGUGGAGUAUGUGGUUUAAUUCGAAGCAACGCGAAGAACCUUACCAGGGCUUGACAUCCCAGGCUGGAAUUAGAGAUAGUUCUUUCUCUUCGGAGACUGUGGUGACAGGUGGUGCAUGGUUGUCGU
This 263-nucleotide ribosomal RNA is filed under the name uncultured bacterium. RNAcentral describes it as "partial 16S ribosomal RNA". It matches the Rfam family "Bacterial small subunit ribosomal RNA", at positions 793 to 1055 of the family's 1533-position model. The record is from RNAcentral.